UACGUAGGGUGCGAGCGUUGUCCGGAAUUAUUGGGCGUAAAGAGCUCGUAGGCGGUGUGUCACGUCGAUCGUGAAAACUUUCAGCUUAACUGGGAGCUUGCGGUCGAUACGGGCAUCACUGGAGUUCGGCAGGGGAGACUGGAAUUCAAGGUGUAGCGGUGAAAUGCGCAGAUAUCUUGAGGAACACCGGUGGCGAAGGCGGGUCUCUGGGACGGUACUGACGCUGAGACGCGAAAGCGUGGGGAGCGAACAGG
RNAcentral lists this ribosomal RNA (254 nucleotides) under uncultured bacterium. RNAcentral describes it as "partial 16S ribosomal RNA". It matches the Rfam family "Bacterial small subunit ribosomal RNA", at positions 524 to 776 of the family's 1533-position model. The record is from RNAcentral.